AGGAGUAGCAUGCAGAUCCUCAGCUAGACUGGAGGGGACAGAGGAGAAGGGUCCCCAGGGUCCAGCCUGAGGCACAGAUGGGAGCUUGCCUGAUUGUCUACCCAUCAACCUGGACCCCAGAGCCUGCCCAGCUGAGUGUGUGCAGAGGGUCCCAGGUGAGGGGCGCUGCUCAGGCCUCUGCAGAGACCACCCUGGAGACACUGACAGAGAGAGGCCUUUCCUACUGAGCCUGGCCUCUCUGCACAGCCUGUUCAGAAAGAAGAACUGAGGCUCAUGGAUAUACACUAAGCCCCCCUCCCCCAAUCCUGCCACCUAGCCUGAGGACUCUUCCCUGCACCUUGAUAACCUGAGAGAACUGGGAGGAGAAAGGGGUUGUGACAAUGACCAGGACUCAGGGCAGAGGUGGAAACAAGUGUGCCUGAUGUAUGCAGCUGAUCCCCCAGGACAUCUC
This 451-nucleotide long non-coding RNA is filed under the name Heterocephalus glaber (naked mole-rat). Its description in RNAcentral is "lncRNA (ENSHGLG00100037261.1)". The record is from RNAcentral. Lineage: Eukaryota; Metazoa; Chordata; Mammalia; Rodentia; Bathyergidae.